Long non-coding RNA from Capsicum annuum, 1677 nucleotides. RefSeq lists it as uncharacterized. The record is from RefSeq and is a predicted model, not a curated record. Lineage: Eukaryota; Viridiplantae; Streptophyta; Magnoliopsida; Solanales; Solanaceae. The transcript has 3 exons.
UCCAUCACUCCUACGUCCUCUCUUCUAUUUCUCUUAUUUCUCAUUUAUCUGCUGAGGGUAAAAAUUUAACCUUUCUAACUCUUUAGCUAAUGCUGCAAACUUCUGGCCUCUACAAUGUAGCUCUUGGAUUAGUUAUCUGCUGAUAUCCUUCGCACGCCUUUUCCCUAUGCUAAAACACCCUGAUGUUCCCUUUCUGCCACAAUAAGUAUAUACUCCCAGCCAGCGUCAUCCGGUAUAUUUGAGCUUUGGUAGAUCUAUUCUUUGCAUAGGUUAUUGCUCAGUUAAUCUCCGUAGAUCAUAACAUUGACGCGCUGUUAAUUUUCCCUCAGCUCCCAAAAUCUACUAGAAAACAGACACACGAAAAAAGAUGCUCGACUGUUUCAUCAACAAUACCGCAAAGCGGACAGACAGUGUCAUUAGUUAUGUCGCAUCUAGCAAGUCUAUCCCUAGUAUAGUUCUUUCUGUGUGAUACAAGCAGGAGCGGAUCUAGGAUUUUAAGCUUGUGGGUUAUCCAGGGGAUUCGAACCAGGGUUUCAAUGCUUCUGAAAGAAGAUUUUGUACCACUAAGUCACGCAUCAACUAUGUUAAUGGGUUCCUAACUUACUAUUAUUAUAUGUUUAAUAGUAUAUUUUUAAAUAUAAUUAUAAAAUUUAUGAAAAAUCCUCCCCUAACUACAAGGUUGAGGAUGAACAUCCAUUUGGGAGUGCUCUAAUUAUUGCACGUUAGCUUCCUCUAAUCAACCUUAGCAAACCAACCCCUCGGUCUUUGGUAUAUGUGUUGGACAUAAAAUCUCGCAUUCUCAUCACAUCCUGCAAAGUCAUUCCCGCUUCUUCAAAUAUCUUCCUAGCCUUCAAAAUUAUUCUCUCCAUCCAUGAAGGUUGAGGAGCAAGAACUUCCCAGAUAAACAACCGUUUUAUGUAGUAGGAAUCAAAGAUACUUCUACUUUUUCUGCACAGUGAUUAGGUAAUUUUUGGAUCGAUCAUGAGUCAGCUUGAAGUGGAACUGGAGACACUUCUAUUUUUCUUACUCAGUGAUUAGGUGAUUUCUGGAUCGAUCAUAAGUCAGCUUGAAGUGGUGAGCUUUCAUACUUUGAAAGACCCUUAUUUCAAGUUCUUGUUUCAUUAUGUUUCACACUUUCCUUUUUGGACUCAUUUUGACUAUAGUGAAGGGCAUGUCUAGACAUAGGUUGUUUUUAGGUUAUUAAAGGCUUUGUGGAUUACUGUGGAAUGGGAUGGUUGUUGAAAUUUUUAAAUUCUUUUUUGAGUUAGUUGAGUUACCUAUCUUGUUAUAUGUUUGGAAUUUGUUCGAUGCUAGUUUUAUUAUGUUCUAUUGGCUAGGCAAAGGGGGUGGUCUACAAUCCUCAGUGGACUUGAGAUAUCCGUCACGCUCAGGUCUUGGUUCGAGCUGUGACAACAUGUGUCGGACAAACCCUGUGUCACCUCUGUAAAAUAAUAAUAAGUCAUCAGGAAAUCCUAAUUGUACCAGCCCUAUCCUCCCACAUCUCAUGUGGUAAUUGAAAUAAGGUUACUAUUUUAGGGUCUUAAAAGAUCUAGUCAAAUAAUCCAUAGCUAGGACAAAUAGGUAUGGAGUCAAGGCCACUUGUUGUAGCCCCUUCUUUUCUUCAAAUGAUAGGGUUAUUACGAUCUUAUAUAUGUAUGACCUAUAUUACCAGUUGAA